Sceloporus undulatus (fence lizard) is the source of this 785-nucleotide long non-coding RNA. RefSeq lists it as uncharacterized. The transcript is spliced from 3 exons. Lineage: Eukaryota; Metazoa; Chordata; Lepidosauria; Squamata; Phrynosomatidae. The record is from RefSeq and is a predicted model, not a curated record.
CAGGAACUUGUGCAAACUGUGAGUUAUGGGGGCAACUACCUUCCCACGAAAGAAGGGCUGAUUGCUCCAGUCUUUCAGGAGAGGCUUCUGGCACUUGGAAAGUGGCUGAGCAUUAAUAGAGAGGCCAUUUACGAAUCAAAGCCGUAGAGGGUCCAAAAGGAAAAUACCAGCGACAGCACUUGGUACACUUCAAAGGAAGCAAAGGUAUACGCUAUCUUCUUCACCUGACCAGAAGGCAACUUGUUGAAGCUUUCGUCGCCUGUCCCAUCUGCCAGCACUCAAGUGACUAUGUUGGGGGUCUCUGUUCCAUUGAAAUGGCAGGCAUUACCAGACAAAGGACUUCAAGUCGCUCUGCCCUUCACAGUCCCUUCACUUCUCCCUCUGCAGUAUGGCUGGACUCUCAAGCUAGUUGGUAUAGCGUGAUGGCAAAGCUGGAGGAGAAUCAAGAUGCUCAUGUUUUCUGUCUCUCGGAGAUGAGAUGUUGAUGCUUCUGUGAUUAGGAGCAUGAACAGGGUAGGAAUAAAGUGGGCCUAAACAAUCAUGGUUGAAUGAAGCAAAACUUUGGCAUGUUAAUGGUCUAAUCAGGACAGAGGGAAGAUUUUUUUCCAGCAGAAUUUUACUCACUUCAAACACACAUCCAAAACUCUGCUGUAAUAUUUUAAAUAUCAUGGAAUGAGAACCACCUCCAGAGACUUCAGGAGAAUUAUCCUGGACUGAUGUGAAUUUAUCAAAUGGGACAGAAUAGCAGCUGCUGAAGGGGUGCAGGUCAUCCCAGGGUUGUUACU